Plectropomus leopardus (leopard coralgrouper) is the source of this 938-nucleotide non-coding RNA. Lineage: Eukaryota; Metazoa; Chordata; Actinopteri; Perciformes; Serranidae. The record is from RefSeq and is a predicted model, not a curated record.
AGCUGUUAUCUCCUCCACACUGUUACCAUCUACCCAACUUGUUUUCAAAACCCACUCAGAGUGACAACUCGCCAUGUCCUCCAUGAAAAAGGCCUGUGGAAGUGAAAGCAAAUAGUUUGUGGCGGACUUUAAACGAGAGGAGGGUUGAUGAAACUUUUCUGCUUGGGAAACAUCUUUCAGUGGUCUGCUGCAGUGAGGAUUACAGAUUGCUACCAGAUGCAACGUCUCCCAUGUGCCAACCAGUUCCUGGUUAGGAUUCCUUCGGUGUUCGGGUUUUUACUGGGACUUAAAUUAUCUGUUGAGGUCUACGCCUCUACAAAACAGGUUUGUCCACAUGCCACCUGACAACAUGAAGAUCCUGAUCCUUGUUCUGCUGCUCCUGCUGUGUAGCACUCAAGUGCUCACGCUCAGAUGCUACACCUGUGAAGAUGAGAAUGAUGAAGACUGUAAGAUGGAAACAAAUUGCACUUCAUCAGCUAACUACUGCAUGACAGAGGAGAGAGAUGACAAAUUAUAUCGAACUUGUGAGGAACUGUGUUUCGACAUGAACCUCUGCUGCAGUACCGACCUUUGCGAACUUUAAGAGAAAUCACCUAAAUCCGAAUCUGAUGGAAGAAGAUUAGUUUGUUUAUCAGUUUUUGUUUUAAUUUUUAAUGAAAUCUACAAAUGUCAAAUUAUGCAGUCUCAUUCAUCGUCACACAAACCGUGUAACACACUGGUGUUUUUGUUUUUUUGGUGAAGAGCUAAUGUUGGAGGCGGAGCAACCACACAUACACACGCAAACACACACUUAAUCCCUUCCUGAUGUCACUUAGUGGGUCAUUGCAACAGUCUGCUUCUAUGUGGGUCGCUGUCUGUCUCUGCUGCAAUGUGAAUUUGGACUCCUCUGUUUCCAAAUCAUGAAAUGGAAAAAAGAAUAAAUCUGUUACUUGAUCUCA